This 331-nucleotide ribosomal RNA is filed under the name uncultured eukaryote. RNAcentral's name for it is "partial 18S ribosomal RNA". It matches the Rfam family "Eukaryotic small subunit ribosomal RNA", at positions 1470 to 1796 of the family's 1831-position model. The record is from RNAcentral.
CCCUUAGAUGUUCUGGGCAGCACGCGCGCUGCACUGAUGCAUUCAACGAGUUCUUCCUGGUCCGAGAGGAAUGGGUAACCUUUUGAAAGUGCAUCGUGCUAGGGAUAGACUAUUGCAAUUAUUGGUCUUCAACGAGGAAUUCCUAGUAGACGUAGUUCAUCAGACUGCAUCGAUUACGUCCCUGCCCUUUGUACACACCGCCCGUCGCUCCUACCGAUUGGAUGGCUUAGCGAGAAUUUUGGAUCGGAGCCCGGGUGGUCGGCAACGGUCGCCCGGGAGAUCUGAGAAAUCAUUCCAGCUUGGUCAUCUAGAGGAAGUAAAAGUCGUAACA